Molecule: non-coding RNA, 3365 nt
Organism: Microcebus murinus (gray mouse lemur)
Lineage: Eukaryota; Metazoa; Chordata; Mammalia; Primates; Cheirogaleidae
Source: RefSeq, a predicted model, not a curated record
AAUUUCACUCUCCUGCUAGUGAGGGUGCCAUCUCCAUACUUAAUGAUGCAUGUGUAUUUGCCUACAGCGAAACUUACUCAUGUAGGCUAAGUGGUAAACAAAUCCCAGCUUUUCCAGAAAUUUGGUUCUGGAAUUUUGCCAAGUAUGUUUUUAACAAACAGGCAAGAUUUAGGUUUAAUUAGCAGCAACUACCUUUGACUUUGGUGUUGAAAUUAAAAAUUCUUAAAAGUUGUUUAUUUAUUAUGUAAAUUAAAUAUCUCUUAAAGUUUAUUUACAUCAAAGUUUAAUUUACAUGACACAUUUGAUUGGUUGACCAUUUCUUUGUGGCUCAAUCUAAUAAAAGUUCAAAGGAUCUCAAACUUGAAGGGAAGUUCAGGUCACUAAGGUCCACACUGUGGCAGCUGGUGGGAGGCCAACUGUCCACGGCCCAGGUGUCCCCUUCCCAGAUCACAGCAUAUCCAGGCUGCAUCUGGACAGACGGGCUUGGGCACAUGUGGAGCAAAUCUCCAGUCUGCUCAUGGUUUUACGUGUCUCAGUAACUGUGGGCUUAGGCCUAUGCUGGCCUCUCAUCUAGCUGUGUGGUAAGGACUUACAUAUCCAGAUGUGAAUGUAUGCAUUGCUGUCUUGAUUCUUGCUUUUAAAAAUCACGAAGACCUAAAAAUAGAAAUUUUUCUCUAAAAAUAGUUCCCUAAAGAACACUGGACUAGAACCCCCACACUCUGAGCUGAUGCUGUACUGAUCCUCUUUGCUAAAUUCUUGCCGGUAAAAAAAAAACCUGUAAUAGCCAUAUGUAGGGCCUGCCCAGCUUGCAAGCUGGGAUGUGCGGAACUGUUAGGAAUGUAGCAGCAGUACGCCCUACACCAUUACGCUCCAGUUCUGAACAUGAACUUGGAGAGAUCAUUGCAUUUCAGUAGCUUUUAGAACGAUCUCUUUUUGCUAUCUUAUUAAAUCUUUUAACCACUUGAGUUUCUGUUUCCUUGCAUGCAAAAUGAGGGUAGAAAUAUUGCCUACCUCGCAGGAUGAGUGCGAGGAGGAAAUAAAAUCCUAUGUGUGGUGAGCAUUCUGUGCACCCAAACUAUAAAGAUGCCAACCUCAGGUCUCUUGAAUUCCCAAUAGCAGUUGCCACAGGACUGGGCACAUAGGCAAAACCAAUUGAUCAAACGAAAGAAACCAAUUCCAUUUGAGUUUAACGUGUGCCCUUUGAUUGACAGCCAUCAAAGCCAAGGUGUGACCAACUGCCCAAUCCUGUUACGAUGGUGAGAUCAGAACCAGCUGUGAAGGGAACAAGGUAUUGUUAGAAAAUUAUGGGAGGGGAAUAUGGCAACACUACUUAAAUUUUAUAUGCUAAACCAGGGGUCUUGCCAAAAUUGUGAAAAACAGGGAUUCCCAAUUCUGGUUCUACCUUGGGGUCACUGGAAUCCUGAAGUCCAUUUAGCACCUAACUCUGCUCCCUGAGUCCAGCCCAGCUCAGCCCUGGCCUCCUGGCUGGCCCAGCCUGGGCUGCCUGGCCUCUUGCCACCUUCAGUGACCUGAAAUUAACAUCUUCAGCAGCACUGAUUAUGCUUGUGAUGGUCUUUGCACAGCUACUGCAAUCAGCAUUUUUAUGUAAAUCAAAUGUCUAUGGCAUAAAUGUCCUCAGUUGGUUAGUAAAUUUCAGAACCGAAGAAACAAAAGAGAAAUGUUUUGGAGAUCAGUCUGGAAAGAAAGAGGAAGGAGAGAGCAGAGAGCUGGGAAGUGUCUGGACCAUGUGGCCAUGGGACUCCAAGAAGUAGAGAUUCAUUUACUCAGUCAACAAAUAUUUCUCAAGCUAGUCCUAGUGGCAGGGCACACAGCCAGAUGGGGGAAGACGUGCAGACAAGCAAUAAAGAUGAAUUAUGACAGGUGUUGUGACCGGGGACAGGGGCUCUCUGAGCUCAAGGUGGAGACCUUGACCAGUCCAGGGAAAGAGAAAACCUCCCUGAAGAAAUGAACUCUAAGAUGAAACUGGAAGGCUAAUUAUCCAAGCUGCCAUGCCACUUCUACCGGAGCUAACUCACGGCAAUAUUAGCAUCGAAACUGAGAUCUCUGGCUGUGGGGCCAAGACCGCCCCAGCCAGCCCCACUACUUCCUAGCCCUGUAACCAUGGGCAUUUGACUCAGCCUGUUUUCUCACUGAUAAAAUGAGCAACUAUCUUAGAAUUUCUUGGGAGAAUUAAAUGAGGUAGUACAUUGAAAGCCCUUAAUAGGAUCCCUGGCACAUAAUAAACUCUCAAUAAAUGUCAACUAGUAUUAUUUUAAUUAAAUAUGGUAGUUGUUGAAAUUACACAGUUUAGUUAAGGCAGUGGUUUUCAAACUUUUUAAGUGGCAAAAAUAUUUCCUCCAAAUAAAUCAUGCAGAGCCACCCAUCAUCUACAAACACCUAAAAGCUGAGCUAUCCAUCGUCUACCUAGGUUCUUCUGUGGCAGAGCUCCAUGGAGCCCAGGUGGAAGCCAUUGCACAGGACACUCUGCUGCACGCCCCCCAUAAAGACACAGGUGCGAGUGGCAGGUGAGGGCCUGGGGGGCGGGGCCAGCAUGUGGGGGGUGGCUGGUUUGUAGGUCUGGGUCACAGUGGGCACUGCCUCCCUUGGGGCCCCGCAGCUCUGCCCGUGUGUACCAGAGAAGAGUAGAAUGGAGAGGCCUGACCGCCAUCCACAUUUCCCCUCAUUUCUGAACUUAAACCUGAUGGCAUUAAGUUUUCUCUUACGCUCACACUACUUCUUUAGGAUCCUGCCUGUCCUUGGCAAAAUCCUCACGACGUGAAACAGGACUGUCAGGAAAAAUAUGCCAGACUUGAAGCUGAUCAUAAAAAGGCCCAGAUGUUAUUGUGUAAUAAGGAAAGUUCCAACCAUCAUUCAGUUGAAAGCUCAGAAGUAAGCUGCACGUGACAUAUUACUGUAAGACAAGUGUGAAGGACUUGCAUUUUAUUUCCACAAAGGAAUGAAUAAAGGGAAAGGAAUUUACUUUUGGAAAAAGGUAAAAUAAAGAACUUUUGACUAUGAGGGAGACUGAGGAAUUCUCAUCCCUGGAGAUAUUUUGAAAUAAUAUUACGACCCAUCUGUGGUGGUUUACGGUUGAUCUAAGCAAGAUGGCCUCCUGGUGCCCCUUCUUUCCCUGUGAAGGUACUUUUCCUAUAAUGCCCGGCUCCUAGUUCCUGCCUUUGCUGUUUCCACUAGAGCCACCGAGGCCUUGAGGGCCCCUUUCAGAACUACCACCUUGGCUCUGAAGUGCCUGCCUCGCAUACCAUGAGAGCAGCAGCAGCAGCAGCACUCAGGCUUGUCUGUAAAACACACAAAUAUUUUCCUGAAGAUACAUAGAUUUCUCAGGGUAAACUUGUAUUAGGACAGUA